This 1385-nucleotide long non-coding RNA is filed under the name Triticum aestivum (bread wheat). RNAcentral's name for it is "long non-coding RNA (TAES_LNC026751)". The record is from RNAcentral. Lineage: Eukaryota; Viridiplantae; Streptophyta; Magnoliopsida; Poales; Poaceae.
CGCCGGAAUAUAUGGGUGAUCAUAGGGGACGCCCUCAGGUUGAGAAUGUUCAUCUAACCAUUUACUCUGUUGUCCAACAAAAGAGACCACCAAAAUCAAAUAUCACUCAGCCAAGCAAGCACAAUUAAAUCGAGUAUUUACAUUAUUCAAGCCAUCAAAGAUAUCUUGAGAUUUUUCAUCCCCUAUGUGCAUAGUACCAAUCAAAUUAACUCUCCAGAUUAUGUUUACUCUAGCUGUACAACAUAAAAGAAAGAAAUAGUAGGCUGCAUAAAAGAAACAAAAGCCCAUAAAGAUUCUGGACCAGCAUAACACUCCAGUUAAAUAAAAUUCAAGCUCUUUGUAUUGAGGGAAUCGUUUAAGCCACUUUGUGGAAGACAUUUAUGCCAAAUGUGGUGGUCCAUGACCAAGCCUCUUUUUACUUGUAGCAAUAUAAACACUUGCAGGGGAGGGGUUCCAACGUAAGCCCAAAUAAAUUAGAGCUUACCACCUAUGUCGAGGAGGAAGAAUAAUCAAGGCCACCGGAUGGGCAGGGCAGGAGUCAUCAGGAGAGGCCACCUUGGUAGCAUCCGAUCCUCGCCAGAUUGGAGCAGCUUUUCCUUUCACCAGAUGGUAGCAAAGAGCACACAACCUGCGGUGUUGCUGCAAGAAAAAGCAUCAUGUAAUCAGGGAAUGCAAUGAGUUGUUAAGGUACUAGACUUCAAUACACAAGAUCAAUUCUUUUAAAAAUACACCAUGUCAAAUUAUACUGAAUGCACAAGAAACAAAAUCCCAUAAAGAUUCUAGACCAGCAAAAUUCUCCAGUUAAAUAAAAUUCACGCUCUUUGUAUUGAGGGAAUCAUUCAAGCCACUUUGUUAGGAAGACCGAUGAAUAAAAUGGGUACCGAUAUGAAACAAGAAGGGUUGUAAGACUGGAAACUAACGACUACAAUAUGAGUGUAAGUAGCCGUUCAAGGAUCCAAUUCAUCGAAAAUAAAAUACUGCUAAACACAAGCAGUCGACUUUGUGCACUCAGCCAGUGGAGGUGAGCAUCAGAUAAAAAAUUGUUGAAGGUACUUGUUUUGCACAAGUGUGGUGGGACUUUGCAUCUACCAGUUGGUCAAAUUUCAUGGCCAAUUGCAAGAUACAAUGAUUUGUGCUUAUGUGGUGGUCCAUGACCAAGCCUCUUGUUACUUGUAGCAAUACAAACACUUGCAGGGAAGGGGUUCCAAUGUAGGCCCAAACUAAUUAGAGCUUACCACCUAUGCUGUGGAGGAAGAAAAAUCGAGGUGACCGAAGGGGCAGGGCAGAAGUCGUCAAGAGAGGCCACCUUGGUGGGCAUCCUCACAGAUCGGAGCGGCUUUUCCUUUCACCAGAUGGUAGCAAAUAGCACAAAACCUGCGGUGCCG